UACAGAGGUCUCGAGCGUUGUUCGGAUUCAUUGGGCGUAAAGGGCGCGUAGGCGGCGGGGUAAGUCUGGUGUGAAAUCUCGGAGCUCAACUCCGAAAUUGCACUGGAUACUGCUCUGCUAGAGGGCUGGAGAGGAGAUCGGAAUUCACGGUGUAGCAGUGAAAUGCGUAGAUAUCGUGAGGAACACCAGUGGCGAAGGCGGCUCACUGGCCCGGUACUGACGCUGAUGCACGAAAGCUAGGGGAGCAAACAGG
RNAcentral lists this ribosomal RNA (253 nucleotides) under uncultured bacterium. Its description in RNAcentral is "partial 16S ribosomal RNA". It matches the Rfam family "Bacterial small subunit ribosomal RNA", at positions 524 to 776 of the family's 1533-position model. The record is from RNAcentral.